Molecule: transfer RNA, 72 nt
Filed under: Chrysemys picta bellii (western painted turtle)
Lineage: Eukaryota; Metazoa; Chordata; Testudines; Emydidae
Description: tRNA-Gln (CTG) (tRNA-Gln-CTG-6-1)
Rfam family: tRNA
About the family: Transfer RNA (tRNA) molecules are approximately 80 nucleotides in length. Their secondary structure includes four short double-helical elements and three loops (D, anti-codon, and T loops).
Source: Rfam by way of RNAcentral
GGUCCCAUGGUGUAAUGGUCAGCACUCAGGACUCUGAAUCCUGCAAUCUGAGUUCAAAUCUCAGUGGGCCCC